CCUACGGGUGGCAGCAGUCGAGAAUCAUUCACAAUGGGGGAAACCCUGAUGGUGCGACGCCGCGUGGGGGAAUGAAGGUCUUCGGAUUGUAAACCCCUGUCAUGUGGGAGCAAAUUAAAAAGAUAGUACCACAAGAGGAAGAGACGGAUAACUCUGUGCCAGCAGCCGCGGGAAUACAGAGGGCUCAAGCGUUGUUCGGAAUCACUGGGCGUAAAGCGUGCGUAGGCUGUGUCGUAAGUCGUGUGUGAAAGGCGCGGGCUCAACCCGCGGACGGCACAUGAUACUGCGAGCCUAGAGUAAUGGAAGGGGAACCGGAAUGCUCGGUGUAGCAGUGAAAUGCGUAGAUAUCGAGAGGAACACUCGUGGCGAAGGCGGGUUCCUGGACAUUAACUGACGCUGAGGCACGAAGGCCAGGGGAGCGAAAGGGAUUAGAUACCCUUGUAGUC
This 446-nucleotide ribosomal RNA is filed under the name uncultured bacterium. Its description in RNAcentral is "partial 16S ribosomal RNA". It matches the Rfam family "Bacterial small subunit ribosomal RNA", at positions 338 to 795 of the family's 1533-position model. The record is from RNAcentral.